UGCAGUCGAGCGAAUGGAUUAAGAGCUUGCUCUUAUGAAGUUAGCGGCGGACGGGUGAGUAACACGUGGGUAACCUGCCCAUAAGACUGGGAUAACUCCGGGAAACCGGGGCUAAUACCGGAUAACAUUUUGAACUGCAUGGUUCGAAAUUGAAAGGCGGCUUCGGCUGUCACUUAUGGAUGGACCCGCGUCGCAUUAGCUAGUUGGUGAGGUAACGGCUCACCAAGGCAACGAUGCGUAGCCGACCUGAGAGGGUGAUCGGCCACACUGGGACUGAGACACGGCCCAGACUCCUACGGGAGGCAGCAGUAGGGAAUCUUCCGCAAUGGACGAAAGUCUGACGGAGCAACGCCGCGUGAGUGAUGAAGGCUUUCGGGUCGUAAAACUCUGUUGUUAGGGAAGAAUAAGUGCUAGUUGAAUAAGCUGGCACCUUGACGGUACCUAACCAGAAAGCCACGGCUAACUACGUGCCAGCAGCCGCGGUAAUACGUAGGUGGCAAGCGUUAUCCGGAAUUAUUGGGCGUAAAGCGCGCGCAGGUGGUUUCUUAAGUCUGAUGUGAAAGCCCACGGCYCAACCGUGGAGGGUCAUUGGAAACUGGGAGACUUGAGUGCAGAAGARGAAAGUGGAAUUCCAUGUGUAGCGGUGAAAUGCGUAGAGAUAUGGAGGAACACCAGUGGCGAANGCGACUUUCUGGUCUGUAACUGACACUGANGCGCGAAAGCGUGGGGAGCAAACARGAUUAGAUACCCUGGUAGUCCACGCCGUAAACGAUGAGUGCUAAGUGUUAGANGGUUUCCGCCCUUUANNGCUGAANUUAACGCAUUAAGCACUCCGNCUGGG
This 841-nucleotide ribosomal RNA is filed under the name uncultured bacterium. RNAcentral describes it as "bacterial SSU rRNA". It matches the Rfam family "Bacterial small subunit ribosomal RNA", at positions 56 to 877 of the family's 1533-position model. The record is from RNAcentral.